AGGUAUUUAGUUUAAUACAAAACAUUUGAUUUCGGCUCAGAAGAUUGUGGUUUAAUUCCGCAACUGAGCU
RNAcentral lists this transfer RNA (70 nucleotides) under Thalassobathia pelagica (pelagic brotula). Its description in RNAcentral is "tRNA-Arg". The stretch from base 7 to 63 matches the Rfam family "tRNA", at positions 7 to 64 of the family's 71-position model. Rfam says of the family: Transfer RNA (tRNA) molecules are approximately 80 nucleotides in length. Their secondary structure includes four short double-helical elements and three loops (D, anti-codon, and T loops). Lineage: Eukaryota; Metazoa; Chordata; Actinopteri; Ophidiiformes; Ophidiidae. The record is from RNAcentral.